This is a non-coding RNA of Potamilus streckersoni, 68 nucleotides long. The record is from the annotation of a GenBank genome assembly. Lineage: Eukaryota; Metazoa; Mollusca; Bivalvia; Unionida; Unionidae.
GUAGCCUAAGUGGUCAGAGCGUCCGCUUCAGGUGCGGGAGGUCGCGGGUUCAAACCUCGGCCUACUCA